GAUGAACGCUAGCGGCAGGCCUAACACAUGCAAGUCGAGGGGCAUCGCGGUGCAGCAAUGCACUGGCGGCGACCGGCGUACGGGUGCGUAACGCGUAUGUAACCUGCCCCGCACCGGGGGAUAGCCCGCCGAAAGGCGGAUUAAUACCCCAUGGUCCCGGGGGCCCGCAUGGGCAUCCGGGUAAAGCCUUGGCGGUGCGGGAUGGGCAUGCGUGCCAUUAGCUGGCUGGUGGGGUAACGGCCCACCAGGGCAACGAUGGCUAGGGGGUCUGAGAGGAUGGUCCCCCACACUGGUACUGAGACACGGACCAGACUCCUACGGGAGGCAGCAGUGAGGAAUAUUGGUCAAUGGGCGGAAGCCUGAACCAGCCAUGCUGCGUGCGGGAUGAAGGCCCUACGGGUUGUAAACCGCUUUUCCCCGGGAAGAAUAACCCCGAUGAGUCGGGUGAUGCCGGUACCGGGGAAUAAGGAUCGGCUAACUCCGUGCCAGCAGCCGCGGUAAAACGUCUA
This 509-nucleotide ribosomal RNA is filed under the name uncultured bacterium. RNAcentral's name for it is "bacterial SSU rRNA". It matches the Rfam family "Bacterial small subunit ribosomal RNA", at positions 28 to 531 of the family's 1533-position model. The record is from RNAcentral.